GGCAGAGCAAAUCUCAAAAAGACCGUCCCAGUUCGGAUCGCAGGCUGCAACCCGCCUGCGUGAAGUUGGAAUCGCUAGUAAUCGCGGAUCAGCAUGCCGCGGUGAAUACGUUCCCGGGCCUUGUACACACCGCCCGUCACACCAUGAGAGUCGGGAACACCCGAAGUCCGUAGCCUAACCGCAAGGGGGGCGCGGCCGAAGGUGGGUUCGAUAAUUGGGGUGAAGUCGUAACAAGGUAAC
This 240-nucleotide ribosomal RNA is filed under the name uncultured bacterium. RNAcentral's name for it is "partial 16S ribosomal RNA". It matches the Rfam family "Bacterial small subunit ribosomal RNA", at positions 1261 to 1500 of the family's 1533-position model. The record is from RNAcentral.